RNAcentral lists this ribosomal RNA (468 nucleotides) under uncultured bacterium. Its description in RNAcentral is "partial 16S ribosomal RNA". It matches the Rfam family "Bacterial small subunit ribosomal RNA", at positions 28 to 507 of the family's 1533-position model. The record is from RNAcentral.
GACGAACGCUGGCGGCGUGCUUAACACAUGCAAGUCGAACGGAAAGGCCCUGCUUUUGUGGGGUGCUCGAGUGGCGAACGGGUGAGUAACACGUGAGUAACCUGCCCUUGACUUUGGGAUAACUUCAGGAAACUGGGGCUAAUACCGGAUAGGAGCUCCUGCUGCAUGGUGGGGGUUGGAAAGUUUCGGCGGUUGGGGAUGGACUCGCGGCUUAUGAGCUUGUUGGUGUGGUAGUGGCUUACCAAGGCUUUGACGGGUAGCCGGCCUGAGAGGGUGAACGGCCACAUUGGGACUGAGAUACGGACCAGACUCCUACGGGAGGCAGCAGUGGGGAAUAUUGCACAAUGGGCGGAAGCCUGAUGCAGCAACGCCGCGUGCGGGAUGACGGCCUUCGGGUUGUAAACCGCUUUCGCCUGUGACGAAGAGUGCGUGACGGUAAUGGGUAAAGAAGCAACGGCUAACUACGUG